This 450-nucleotide ribosomal RNA is filed under the name uncultured bacterium. Its description in RNAcentral is "bacterial SSU rRNA". It matches the Rfam family "Bacterial small subunit ribosomal RNA", at positions 354 to 796 of the family's 1533-position model. The record is from RNAcentral.
GUGGGGAAUAUUGGACAAUGGGCGAAAGCCUGAUCCAGCCAUGCCGCGUGUGUGAAGAAGGUCUUCGGAUUGUAAAGCACUUUAAGUUGGGAGGAAGGGCAGUAAGUUAAUACCUUGCUGUUUUGACGUUACCGACAGAAUAAGCACCGGCUAACUUCGUGCCAGCAGCCGCGGUAAUACGAAGGGUGCAAGCGUUAAUCGGAAUUACUGGGCGUAAAGCGCGCGUAGGUGGUUUUGUAAGUUGGAGGUGAAAUCCCCGGGCUCAACCUGGGAACUGCCUCCAAAACUGCAUGACUAGAGUACGGUAGAGGGUAGUGGAAUUGCCUGUGUAGCGGUGAAAUGCGUAGAUAUAGGAAGGAACACCAGUGGCGAAGGCGACUACCUGGACUGAUACUGACACUGAGGUGCGAAAGCGUGGGGAGCAAACAGGAUUAGAUACCCCGGUAGUCC